AGGAUGAACGCUGGCGGCGUGCCUAACACAUGCAAGUCGAACGUCCUGUCUCGCAAGAGGCAGGGAGUGGCGGACGGGUGAGUACCACGUGGGUCAUCUACCGUGAGGUGAGGAAUACCGGCGAGAAAUCGCCGACAAGACCGCAUAGCCUCGGUGCAAGUCGAGGAAAGCUCUCUCGAGAGAGGGAGCGCCACACGAGGAGCCUGCGCCCGAUUAGCUAGCUGGUGGAGUAAUGGUUCACCAGGGCGACGAUCGGUAGCUGGUCUGAGAGGACGAUCAGCCACACUGGGAUUGAGAACGGCCCAGACUCCUACGGGGGCAGCAGUGAGGAAUUUUCGUCAAUGGGGGCAACCCUGAACGAGCAACGCCGCGUGCAGGAAGAAGGUUUCGGAUCGUAACUGCUUUUCUCGGGAAGAGAACGGACGGUACCCGAGGAAUCAGCCCCGGCUAACUCGCGCCAGCAGCCGCGGU
This 471-nucleotide ribosomal RNA is filed under the name uncultured bacterium. RNAcentral's name for it is "SSU rRNA". It matches the Rfam family "Bacterial small subunit ribosomal RNA", at positions 26 to 521 of the family's 1533-position model. The record is from RNAcentral.